This 78-nucleotide transfer RNA is filed under the name Erysipelotrichaceae bacterium. RNAcentral's name for it is "tRNA-Met". It matches the Rfam family "tRNA". Rfam says of the family: Transfer RNA (tRNA) molecules are approximately 80 nucleotides in length. Their secondary structure includes four short double-helical elements and three loops (D, anti-codon, and T loops). Further hydrogen bonds mediate the characteristic L-shaped molecular structure. tRNAs have two regions of fundamental functional importance: the anti-codon, which is responsible for specific mRNA codon recognition, and the 3' end, to which the tRNAs corresponding amino acid is attached (by aminoacyl-tRNA synthetases). tRNAs cope with the degeneracy of the genetic code in two manners: having more than one tRNA (with a specific anti-codon) for a particular amino acid; and 'wobble' base-pairing, i.e. permitting non-standard base-pairing at the 3rd anti-codon position. The record is from RNAcentral. Lineage: Bacteria; Bacillati; Bacillota; Erysipelotrichia; Erysipelotrichales; Erysipelotrichaceae.
CGCAGGGUAGAGCAGUCCGGUAGCUCGUCGGGCCCAUAACCCGGAGGUCGCAUAGUUCAAAUCUUGCCCCUGCAACCA